RNAcentral lists this RNase P RNA (356 nucleotides) under Clostridiales bacterium. RNAcentral describes it as "RNase P RNA component class A". It matches the Rfam family "Bacterial RNase P class A". Rfam says of the family: Ribonuclease P (RNase P) is a ubiquitous endoribonuclease, found in archaea, bacteria and eukarya as well as chloroplasts and mitochondria. The record is from RNAcentral. Lineage: Bacteria; Bacillati; Bacillota; Clostridia; Eubacteriales.
UGAGUAAACCGGGCAGUCGCGUGGCAUUGCCGAAAGGCUACCCACGAGGAAAGUCCGGGCUGCAUAGGGCAAGGAUAACGGGUAACGCCCGCCGAAGGCGACUUCAGGAAAAGUGCAACAGAAAUAGACCGCCGCGCUUGCGCGGCAAGGGUGGAAAGGCGAGGUAAGAGCUCACCCAUCGGGCGGGAACGCUCCGAUGCUGUAAACUCUAUCCGCAGCAACACCGCGGAGGGGACACAUGGCUUGCCCGGCCGUCCCCGCGGAGGUGGCUUGAGCCUGUCGGCAACGGCAGGCCUAGACAGAUGACUGCCACGUCAAAAGGCGUACAGAACCCGGCUUACAGGUUUACUCGCAUA